This 93-nucleotide transfer RNA is filed under the name Microbacterium nanhaiense. Its description in RNAcentral is "tRNA-Gly". Lineage: Bacteria; Bacillati; Actinomycetota; Actinomycetes; Micrococcales; Microbacteriaceae. The record is from RNAcentral.
CUCGCCGCGCGCGCCGGUGCGGGCGUCUCCGUCGCCCGCGGAGCGGACCCGCGCUUGGGGCCCGGGGUCGGAUCCUCCGCCGCCGCGGCGGGG